Molecule: long non-coding RNA, 6501 nt
Filed under: Salvia miltiorrhiza (redroot sage)
Lineage: Eukaryota; Viridiplantae; Streptophyta; Magnoliopsida; Lamiales; Lamiaceae
Description: long non-coding RNA (SMIL_LNC010923)
Source: RNAcentral
CCAUAUCCCAAUUGAAAUUUUAAAACUUGUUUGUCUGCGGUACCUUUCCCUAAAAUGCAACGGGGAGCUCCCUCCUUCCAUAUCCAACCUUUUUCACCUUCAAUUCUUGAUUAUCAAGCCACAUAUGUACAUUAAAAAGCGUGGAGUUCAGUUUUAUAUGCCUGUGCAAAUUUGGGACAUGCAAGAACUAGAGCAUCUUGAGAUAAUUGGAAGGGACCUACCAACCCCUAAUACUGAUGAUGCUACCUUGAACAAACUCACCAGGCUUGUUGGUGUGAGUGCAAACAGUUGUACAAGGGAAGUUCUCAAAAGAAUUCCUAAUUUAGAGUUAUUAGCAAUUGAAGUGGAGUUGAAGCCUUAUGAUGAUGAUGAUGAUGAAAGAAACCCAUUGAGUUGCUUGGGUUAUAUCUCUCAACUCCAGAAUUUGGUCACACUUGAAUAUUGGGUUAAGAAUCCCGAGAUAAAGUAUGAGUGUAAUACGAUUCCUCUUUCAAUGUUUCCAUCAAGUCUCAAGGUGUUACGUUUGUCUGGGUUAGGGGGAUAUCCUUGGAAUUACAUGAAUGACAUUGGUUCGCUGCUACCAAAUCUCGAGAUUCUCAUAUUAUAUUAUUAUGCAUUUCGAGGCCCAGAGUGGGACAUAACACCGGGGAGUUUUUUGAAACUUAUUGAACUUCGAAUUGAAGACACCGAUUUGGUGCGAUGGAGACCUCAACGUGGAAGCUUCCCGGAGCUUCGUAGACUAAGCAUGAGGCAUUGCUACAAAUUACAGCAUCUCGAUUGGCCAUAUGACCACUCUUGGAUCACAACCAUUGGAUUAACCGACUGCAAUCCUUUAGCUGUCGCUUGUGCGAAGGAAUUAGAAGCCAAAUUUCCCUUUGAACUUCUCGUCGAAUCUUCUUUUGUAGCUCAAGUGAUUCUGCAACUUGCCUUACACGUUAGUCUUUCUACUUUGCAAUAUCAAGUCUUAAUGUUUUGUUACAGUCACAGUGUUUGAGAUUGUCCAUCUACCGAUUUUCAGGCAAAUGAGAGAGCCGAUCGAAGGGGUCAGACACCGCGUUAUCCCAUAAUUUCGAUUCAUGUUGCAUUACCACAUAUUGUCGUAUGUAUUUAAGGAUUGUGAUUUGUAUUGGAUUUUGUUGAUGAUUAUGAAACCUGAGUGCUGAAUUGUGUUUGUAACCAAACUUGUUUUAAGUUGGAUUUGUGUGAAAACAUUAGUCCCUUCAGGAGGUUCGAGAAGUCUCUCAGAGGCCGCGAUGUUGAACAAUGGAUGAGCCGUCGCCGCUUACCUAAAGAUCUUCGAAGGUAACCAAACUUCUUUCUCUUUCUUUCUGAUGAUCAUUGUUGAUUAUCUGUAUGAGCGUUGUCUUCUUCGAAUAACUUGAAAAAUUGCCGAAAAAUUGUGACUCGGGCUAUUAAGUGAACAACGGAGAAGUAAUGAACAUCUUAUCUUUAACAGCUCCGAAUUUUUCAACUUUCAUGCCAAUAUACUAUUUAAUUUGUGGCUUCAUAUUUCAAAUUUAUGAGAUCCCUGAGUAGAAACUCAUCAAUAUGAACAUUAAUUUGUUGAGAUGAAGUCCCUGUUGUGUAUUUGGAUGAGCUUUUUCCAAUAGUCUUAUUCUCAUUUCCAUUUUUGAGAACCUUUGUUGUUGUUGUUGUCGUCUUCUUUUUGUUAUUUUUAUUUCUUUUAAGGUUUAGUUUACAUUUUCUUUAAAAUUUAAAAGUUGUUUGCUGAAGAUUCAUGCCCUCUUAAACUUGACAAAGCCAAAAAAAAAAAAAAAAAAUUGGGGGGCUGAUGACUACAGAAAAGCCAUGAUUUCUAUGAACAAAAUUAUUAUGCUAAUUAAUUAAGUUAUUUCUUCUCCAUUGUAAAUAUAAGGUUCAAAAUGUUGUUGAUUUAGCUAUGAAGUUAAUCUCAUUAAGAGCUCUUGUUGCAAAGAAGAAAAGAAUUGAUUAAUUAUCAUUCACGAAAUUUCUGAAGCAGUUAUCAGAUAACCUAUUACCUAUCAAUUACUUCCUCCGUCCCACUACAAUAUGCUCAUUUUUCUUUUUGGGUAAAAAAGUUAUACUUAAUUGGUGUGGACCACACCACUUUAUUACCACUUUCCUACUAAAAAAAUAGUUUUCUUAAUUUCCGUGCUCAAAAGAAGCGAGCCUAUUGAAGUGGGACGAAGGGAGUAACAUAGACCAAUUGCCUCCUCAAAAACAUAGACCAAUUGGGCUUCUUCAUAUACUAAACAAAAUUUCGGCCCAAUACAAAAUUGAGGCCCAAUUCCAUCAUUUAUCUUUGGGUAAUUUUAUAUGUAGCCAGUAGCCUCCAAAUUUAUCACUACAGCCCCUCGUUAAAAAAUAUAGCUAAACUAUUAACAAAUAUCCAUUUUUACCCCUACAGCCUCAAAUUUAACUUUUAAUAAUUAAUUCCAAAAAUGUUAGGCAAACUACUACUGCAGUUUGAUUUAAAACUUUAUGUGGUAGUACUACAUAAAGUUUUAAAUCAAAUUGCAGUCGCAGUUUUUUUUCUUUUGUUUCUCCCUUCAAAUAUGGGGGCUAUACAAUUUCUUUUAGAAAACGUGGCUAUACAUAUUUGCUGCAAUAGUAAUGUUUGUGGGAUUAGUUAUUGGAAUUUUGAAUUAAGAGAUGUAGGGGUAAAAAUGUAUAUUUAUUAGUAACAUUUUAAUUAUAUUUUUUAAUAAGGGGCUAUGAUAAGAAAUUUGGGGGCUAUGUAUAAAAUUACCCUUUAUCUUUUGAAUUAUGCCUCACUAUUAAAAGGCAUCAAAUUCAACUCAAUUUCUUUAGAAGACAUUCAAAAUCCAUGGCACUUUGGAGUAAGAAAGAAAAUUAAUUACUAUCAAUUUCAAUUUGGAUUUAAAUGACUGAAAUAAGAGACGGCUAAAUAAUUCAUAAAUUUCGACCCCUUUUGGAUUUUAAUUAUUUUUAAUAAGUACUUUUUUCAUAAUUAGAUUAAGUAGUUCUUUAUUUCUUUAAUUAGUUUAAUUGCCACAUAACUAAUCAUGAUCUUUCGAGCCUUCAAUAAAAAAGUAAAACACCCUGAGUUAAAAACUGUGCUGCAAACACUACGAAUAAUUUCCCUCGGUAAUAAUUUUACCGACAUUGAAUUUAACGACGGGCACUUUUAAUCGGUGAUCUCUCGGUAAACAAUAUUACCGAGGGAAAUUAUAUAUUUACCGAGGGAAAUUUCCCUCGGUAAAAAUUAAUUUUUUGUUAUUUUACAUAAGAAAUUUUCCUAUAUAAAUUUUAUACGUUGACUUUUUUAUGAGUUCGUGCAAAAGUUGUUCCCAUUGGUUGUGAUUAAAUAAAAAGUAAUGUUUAUUGUCGAUAAGACACUCUCUUUUGUUUUCACCUUUGUAUGAUGUAGAAUUGUGAAUUGCUUAUUUAAUUAUAUAUUAGAUACCUUUUGUAACUCUACAAAAAAAUACUAUCAUCUUUACAAUCCAACAUUUAAAAAAAAAGUAAUGUUAUUGUAAUUAAAAAAAAUAUUACAAACGACAAUGAUGGAAUUGAUAUUUUUUUAUUGUAAUUUUAUUUUAUUUAAAUUAUUGUAAUAUUUUUAAUUCAUAUAUGGUUAAUUUUUUAUUUUAAUUAAAAUUUUAUUGUUAAAAUUAAAUACAUACACACAUGGAAUUGAUAAGCUUGGUGUAGGACCCAAUAUAAUUAUAUAUAUGAUACUUUAUUAUUAGCUUUAUUGGCGUGCGUUUUCUUUUACGAAAAGUAGAGGUUGAUUGCUCAUAAUUUUCAAGUGGUUGAUUGCUCAUUCUUCAUAAUUACAAUCUUCGGUUGCUUUGUUUCUUGCUACAAUUCUUCCACACAAUUGCAUUCAAAAUCAUCAAUAGAUCGAUUUUACCAUUACAUUAUACACAUCUCUUCAAAUCAUUUACUAAAUUCUUGAAUGUGGUUUUGAAUGUUUCUGAAAUUGUAUCAAAAGCAGCUGCCGCCGCCGUCGAGAGGUAAGCAGAGAAUUGAGAUCUAUCAUUUGUUUCGUCUGCGUUUGCUUAUUAUAAUUCCUUCUUCUUCUUCUUCUUCUUCUUCGUUUCUUUCUUAGGCGACUGAAUUUUAUUCUGGGUUAAUUGCAGUUUAGUUUAAGCUUCAUUUUGGAGGAAAAUUGCAGAGCUAAGCAAUUUCAUUUCAACAAUAUAUCGUAUCUCAGCUGAUAAUUUGGGUAUGGCGGCUUAUGGUGCGGCGGCUUCUCUCAAGAAUACGAUUGAGCGUAUUCUACAAUCGUCUCGCAUUUCUCUCGUUUCCCACUCUCCACAAAUCUUGCAACCUGCCUACGACCAGAUGGAUCGCUUGCAGAAAGUUCUGCUAGGAUUGGAUUACACCAGCUGCAGCAAGAUCAGGACGAAGGUGAAUGCUGCGGAUGAACGAAUCAAAGAGGCAGUUUGGGAAUUUGAAGAUUUACUCGAAUCCCAUAUCUUACAUCAGAUUCUUCCACAGCUCGAAAGCGAGAGACACAACUUGUCAUUCUCUGUAGAUCUGCAGAAUCUGCAAUACCAUGUUGAUUGCUUCGUCAUGACGGUGAAGAUGAUGAAGGUGGAGUACACUAAAGAAAUGAAGAAUAUGGCUGAAGAAGAAGGCGAGCCUAUUUCCUCAAGAAUCGAUUUUGGUGGAAUCAACUCAAAGAUGGUUGGAUUAUCUUCUGCGAUUCAAAAAGCCAGAGAUGAUCUUCUUCAAGAAAAUAGAAAUGUCUAUUCGAUUAUUGGGAUGGUGGGCGUUGGAAAGACGACUCUUGCUAAGCAUAUUUUUGAAGAUCCAUCAAUUCGGAGCCAUUUUGAGUUUCGAGCAUGGGUCAAAGUGGGCAGAAAAUGCGAACCCAAUGAAUUAUUACGCUGCGUUCUAGCUCAAGUGGAUCCCAACGCUUACCGAAUGCUUGCCCAAGGAGAUGAUGAUGAUGAGGAAUUAGUCGGACUAUUGAAAGAAAAAUUGCAGGAUAAGAAAUGCCUCAUCGUGUUGGAUGAUGUUUGGGAGGAACAAGCACUAGAUCGCUUGAUAAAUUGCUUGCGAGAAAAGAAUACUCUUGGAGGGAUUCAAUUCUUACUUACAAGUAGACAAUGUACAACAUAUUGGGGCGUGGGAUUGGGCUUGUUGAAUGAAGAAGAUAGUAAGAAACUACUUGGUGAGAAGGUGUUUGGUGUGAAGGUGUUUAGUGAAGACGGUUUCCCUCCUCAACUUGAGGAACUGGGAGAGAAGAUUGCCAGGAAAUGUGAAGGUCUUCCUCUUAUGAUAGUCACGGUUGCAGAGCUCCUAUCAAAAGCCGACAAGACCCCAGAAUACUGGACUGAGGUAGCCUACAAACAACACAACUCACUUUUUGAGAAAGCAUAUAAUCAAAUAUCAGAGGUACUUUUCCCAAGCUAUGACUACUUACCCCAACAUUUAAAAAUGUUCUUCCUCUAUAUGGGAGUUUUCCCUCCUUAUGUUGAUCAGAGACCAUUCGAUAUUAAUUAUCUUUUGAGUGUUGAGGGAUUUCUUGAACUGAAUGAUGAAAGAACUUUAGAAGGUUUAUGGGAAAAGCUUUCUAAGUGGUAUCAUCUUAUUCUCGACACAGAAAAUUUGUGGUAUUUGAAAAGAGAGUAUCGCGUGCAUUCUUGUUGGCAGCACUUAUGUAAGGUAGAAUCUAGUAGGAUCAAGUUUCUACAUGUCUUACGAGGUUGUGAUGAUGUUAUAAAAGACCAGCGCCGCUUGUGUGUCCAUUCGAACAGCUUAUUCUGCUUCCAACAAGUGUAUGAUUUGAAUAAAAGUGAUUGUGCAUCCACUGCCCGUUCUAUCCUUUGUUAUGGUCCUUAUCACCCAUAUCCGAUCCCAAUACAUGCCAUGGGUGUCAAGUUGCUCAGGGUACUAAAUGCUGAUAAUGUCCGAUUUUACCAUAUCCCAAUUGAAAUUUUGAAACUAGUUUGUCUUCGUUAUCUUGCCCUAACUUGCAACAGGGAGCUCCCUCCUUCCAUAUCCAACCUUUUUCACCUUCAAUUCUUGAUUAUCGAUCCACAACUUCACAUUAAAAAGCGUGGAGUUCAGUCUUAUAUGCCAAUGCAAAUUUGGUACAUGCAAGAACUAGAGCAGAUUCAGAUUUGGGGAAGCGACCUACCAACCCCUAAUACUGAUGAUGCUACCUUGAACAAACUCUGCAGACUUUAUUGUGUGAGUGCAAACAGUUGUACAAUGGAAGUUCUCAAAAGAAUUCCUAAUUUAAAGGAAUUAGGAAUUGAAGUGGAGUUGAAGCCUUAUGAUGAUGAUGAUGAUGAAAGAAACCCAUCGAGUUGCUUGGGUUAUAUCUCCCAACUCCAGAAUUUGGAGAACUUGAAUAUUGGGUUAAUAAUCCGAGAUAAGUAUGAGUGUAAUACGNGUCUUAUAUGCCUGUGCAAAUUUGGGACAUGCAAGAACUAGAGUAUCUUGAGAUAAGUGGAAGGGACCUACCAACCCCUAAUACUGAUGAUGCUACCUUGAACAAACUCAACACACUUUAUGGUGUGAGUGCAAACAGUUGUACAA